This 835-nucleotide ribosomal RNA is filed under the name uncultured Acidimicrobiales bacterium. RNAcentral describes it as "bacterial SSU rRNA". It matches the Rfam family "Bacterial small subunit ribosomal RNA", at positions 34 to 884 of the family's 1533-position model. Lineage: Bacteria; Bacillati; Actinomycetota; Acidimicrobiia; Acidimicrobiales. The record is from RNAcentral.
CGCUGGCGGCGUGCUUAAUACAUGCAAGUCGAACGCUCUUGACCUUCGGGUCACUAAGAGAGUGGCGAACGGGUGCGUAACACGUGAGAAACCUACCCCGAAGACGGGAAUAGCCCGAGGAAACUCGGAUUAAUACCCGAUAUCUCCACACUGUCGCAUGGCAGAGUGAAGAAAGUUCAGGCGCUUCGGGAGGGUCUCGCGGCCUAUCAGCUUGUUGGUGAGGUAACGGCUCACCAAGGCAUCGACGGGUAGCUGGUCUGAGAGGAUGAUCAGCCACACUGGGACUGAGACACGGCCCAGACUCCUACGGGAGGCAGCAGUAGGGAAUCUUGCGCAAUGGGCGAAAGCCUGACGCAGCAACGCCGCGUGGGGGAUGAAUGCCUUCGGGUUGUAAACCCCUUUCAGCAGGGACGAAAUUGACGGUACCUGCAGAAGAAGGUCCGGCCAACUACGUGCCAGCAGCCGCGGUAAUACGUAGGGACCAAGCGUUGUCCGGAAUUAUUGGGCGUAAAGAGCUCGUAGGCGGUUCAGUAAGUCGGGUGUGAAAACUCAAGGCUCAACCUUGAGACGCCACUCGAUACUGCUGUGACUUGAGUCCGGUAGAGGAGUGUGGAAUUCCUGGUGUAGCGGUGAAAUGCGCAGAUAUCAGGAGGAACACCAGCGGCGAAGGCGGCACUCUGGGCCGGUACUGACGCUGAGGAGCGAAAGCAUGGGGAGCAAACAGGAUUAGAUACCCUGGUAGUCCAUGCCGUAAACGUUGGGCACUAGGUAUGGGACCAUAUCAACGGGUUCCGUGCCGUAGCUAACGCAUUAAGUGCCCCGCCUGGGGAGUACG